AGAAUAUUUACGUAUUAAUGUAAGUAUGUUUUCUAUAUAAUAUUCUAGUCUUCUGUUGUCUUCUUAAUAAAAACUGUAAACCCAUAAACUUUAAAAAUUGAUUUAUUGUUUACAGCGUUGUUAAUAUCAAGCAGUAUAGGUUCCAUUAUUGGUGUUAUAAUGAACGAAUUGGACAAUAAAAUGGUCUCAACAAAAAAGAAUGUGUGCAAUGAGUUCAAAAAAAAAGAUGGCACAGGAAAAGACAACCAAUACUUGUACUUGCGUUCUGUGGCCAAAAUUGAGUGUGGUCAAAACGAGGGUACAGCAGUUUGCGUUCACACGUCUGACGCUGUCAAAGGACACCUGUUCCUUACCUGUGCUCAUGUCGUAGACCAUACAAUCCAAUCGGUAAUAUUACGAUAUGAUGGGCAUGCAAUUAAAGGUAGAGUUAUAUAUGUUAAUCGUAAGGCUGUACCAUAUGACAUUGCUGUAAUUGUAUCUGAACAAACUAAACAAACUACAGACAUUUUACCUUGUCAGAUAUCAGACAAAACCCCGACUAUUGGUCAAAAAAUGUUUUCGGUUGGAUUCGCUUGUCGAGAAUAUGUACCAUCUACAGUUUUCGGUCACAUGCACAGAAUGAUAUAUAGCAUAUUGACGACCACUUGUAAUGUGCGUGCAGGGUUCAGCGGCGGUCCAGUAUUUUCAAUCGACAGAAAACUGUUGGGACUUACUGUUGGAAAAUUGAACAUGGGCACUUUUCAUUUUGUAUUGCCUUCUAUAGAAUUUGUGGAAACUAUUAACAAAUAUAUCAUUACUAAUAACAUUGAAAUACUUAAUGAUUUAGAAUCCAAGUGCCCAUUGAAAACAGUGCUAUGGAACAAUGGAAUUCCAACCUUCAAAGUUUGAAGAACGGUGAUAAUCUGGUCAAAUAACACUCUUAUAUUGACUAACAUAGCAUUCCAUAUCAACAAAUGUAAGGUACAUUCUUCAUAAUUACUAGUGCCUAUUUCCUUGAUUUCUAUCAAGGCACUCCAAUAUUUACUAUAUCAAAAGAGUUUUUAGAGGAAAUGUGUACAAUGUGUAUGAUAGUUAUGAAGAACUAGGCAAUUUAAAUUCAAUAUUGGCCUAUAUUCUGUCUCAAAAGAAAACAAUCACGUUUUGCCAUCAUGAAUGAUGUAACUGGCGCGUUGAGAACCACGUGAUCAAGCUAACACCAAAUUGUUAUCUAGAGAAGCGCUGUCAAAAAUCGGUAGGCCGACUGAUAGCUCUCUUUUGAGACAUGUAUAGGUAGAUAAGAAAAAAUAAGUACAUAAUAAUAAAUUGUUUGUGUCCAAAGUUAGAAUAAACAAUUACAACAUAAUUUUUUUAAUUAUUAUGAUUGCGCUAAAUAAAAUCAACAUGUGUGAACUGAA
Molecule: unclassified non-coding RNA, 1394 nt
Filed under: Acyrthosiphon pisum (pea aphid)
Lineage: Eukaryota; Metazoa; Arthropoda; Insecta; Hemiptera; Aphididae
Description: peroxisomal leader peptide-processing protease, transcript variant X2
Source: RNAcentral